GACGAACGCUGGCGGCGUGCUUAAUACAUGCAAGUCGAACGGAAAGGCCCUGCUUUUGUGGGGUGCUCGAGUGGCGAACGGGUGAGUAACACGUGAGUAACCUGCCCUUGACUUUGGGAUAACUUCAGGAAACUGGGGCUAAUACCGGAUAGGAGCUCCUGCUGCAUGGUGGGGGUUGGAAAGUUUCGGCGGUUGGGGAUGGACUCGCGGCUUAUCAGCUUGCUGGUGGGGUAGUGGCUUACCAAGGCUUGACGGGUAGCCGGCCUGAGAGGGUGACCGGCCACAUUGGGACUGAGAUACGGCCCAGACUCCUACGGGAGGCAGCAGUGGGGAAUAUUGCACAAUGGGCGGAAGCCUGAUGCAGCAACGCCGCGUGCGGGAUGACGGCCUUCGGGUUGUAAACCGCUUUCGCCUGUGACGAAGCGUGAGUGACGGUAAUGGGUAAAGAAGCACCGGCUAACUACGUG
This 467-nucleotide ribosomal RNA is filed under the name uncultured bacterium. RNAcentral's name for it is "partial 16S ribosomal RNA". It matches the Rfam family "Bacterial small subunit ribosomal RNA", at positions 28 to 507 of the family's 1533-position model. The record is from RNAcentral.